This 429-nucleotide ribosomal RNA is filed under the name Pseudomonadota bacterium. RNAcentral describes it as "Proteobacteria bacterium partial 16S ribosomal RNA". It matches the Rfam family "Bacterial small subunit ribosomal RNA", at positions 355 to 776 of the family's 1533-position model. Lineage: Bacteria; Pseudomonadati; Pseudomonadota. The record is from RNAcentral.
UGGGGAAUAUUGGACAAUGGGCGAAAGCCUGAUCCAGCCAUGCCGCGUGUGUGAAGAAGGUCUUCGGAUUGUAAAGCACUUUCAGUUGGGAGGAAGGGCAGUAAGCGAAUACCUUGCUGUUUUGACGUUACCGACAGAAUAAGCACCGGCUAACUCUGUGCCAGCAGCCGCGGUAAUACAGAGGGUGCAAGCGUUAAUCGGAAUUACUGGGCGUAAAGCGCGCGUAGGUGAUUAGUUAAGUUGAAUGUGAAAGCCCCGGGCUCAACCUGGGAAAUGCAUCCGAAGAUGGAGUGAUAGAGGAGGGCAGAGGGUGGUGGAAUUUCCUGGGUAGCGGUGAAAUGAGUAGGUAAAGGAAGGAACACCAGUGGCGAAGGCGACCACCUGGGCUAAUACUGACACUGAGGUGCGAAAGAGUGGGGAGCAAACAGG